UUAAAAAGCUCGUAGUUGGAUUUUGGUUAAGAGGGCGCGGUCGGCCGUUUGGUCUGUACUGCGUUGUCUUGACUUCCUGAUGAGGACAUGCUCUUGGUUAACGCUGAGACAUGGAGUCAUCGUGGUUACUUUGAAAAAAUUAGAGUGUUCAAAGCGGGCUUACGCUUGAAUAUAUUAGCAUGGAAUAACACUAUAGGACUCCUGUCCUAUCUCGUUGGUCUCGGGAUGGGAGUAAUGAUUAAGAGGAACAGUUGGGGGCAUUCGUAUUUCAUUGUCAGAGGUGAAAUUCUUGGAUUUAUGAAAGACGAACUUCUGCGAAAGCAUUUGCCAAGGAUGUUUUCAUUAAUCAAGAACGAAAGUUGGGGGCUCGAAGAUGAUUAGAUACCAUCCUAGUCUCAACCAUAAACGAUGCCGACUAGGGAUUGGUGGAUGUUAAUUGAUGACUUCACCAGCACCUUAUGAAGAAAUCAAAAGUUUUUUGGGU
Molecule: ribosomal RNA, 484 nt
Filed under: uncultured marine eukaryote
Lineage: Eukaryota
Description: SSU rRNA
Rfam family: Eukaryotic small subunit ribosomal RNA
Source: RNAcentral